Molecule: ribosomal RNA, 403 nt
Filed under: uncultured bacterium
Lineage: Bacteria
Description: bacterial SSU rRNA
Rfam family: Bacterial small subunit ribosomal RNA
Source: RNAcentral
UAGGGAAUAUUGCAAAAUGGGCGAAAGCCCGAUGCAGCAACGCCGCGUGGGCGAUGAAGGCCUUCGGGUCGUAAAGCCCUUUUUGAGGGGAUGAGGAAGGACAGUACCCUCAGAAUAAGCCUCGGCUAACUACGUGCCAGCAGCCGCGGUAAAACGUAGGAGGCGAGCGUUAUCCGGAUUUACUGGGCGUAAAGCGCGUGCAGGCGGAUUGGAGAGUUGGAUGUGAAAGCUCCCGGCUUAACUGGGAGAGGUCGUUCAAUACUUCCAGUCUUGAGUGCAAUAGAGGGAAGUGGAAUUCCGGGUGUAGUGGUGAAAUGCGUAGAUAUCCGGAGGAACACCAGUGCCGAAAGCGGCUUCCUGGACUGUAACUGACGCUCAGACGCGAAAGCUAGGGUAACAAACG